Molecule: ribosomal RNA, 1848 nt
Filed under: Anaperus rubellus
Lineage: Eukaryota; Metazoa; Xenacoelomorpha; Acoela; Anaperidae
Description: eukaryotic LSU rRNA
Rfam family: Eukaryotic large subunit ribosomal RNA
Source: RNAcentral
AUAGAAACAUUUCUCGGUGUCCGGUUUGGGUUGAGACCCAACUUUUUAACUUGACUGGAUGUCUAUUGAAAAGUAGCAUCACAGAGGGUGAAAAUCCUGUAACAGUCGGGCUUAACUAGUUGUAGGUCCAACCUAGCGAGUAGAGUUGUUUGAAAUUGCAACUCGAAGCUGGAGAUAUGUCUCUCCAAAAGCUAAUUAUAAAGUGAGACCGAUAGCAAACAAGUACCGUGAGGGAAAGUUGAAAAGCACUCUGAAGAGAGAGUGAAAAGUACGUGAAACUGUUGAAGGAGAACUGAAUAGUACGUUACCAUGCCCAAAAGCCUUGAUCUUGUGUCUCGGUAAAAGGGUGGAGUAGUUGAAGUCGCUUGGCAUUGUUAAAGCAUACAAGCAUCUGUACUUCUUCGGAAGACGCAGAAUGUUGUCAAUCAUAACAAAAGGUUUAUACAAACUUUUUUGCCUGUCUGACUCUCAACUUCCAUUCAAUGUGCUAUCCAGCCCGUCUUGAAACACGGACCAAGGAGUGUGUGUUGCCUGCAAGUGGUUGCGCGCUUGAAAGCGUAAACGCGAAAUGAAAGUGAUUGGUGCAAUGUUUAUGCAAUGUACUACUUCGUGGGUGAGAACGCCUAUAUGGUGUUUUGCAGUCACGGGCGGUUUUGUUAUUAGUCGCAUAACCGAUCCAGAGCAGGUAGCACACGACCCGAAAGAUGGUGAUCUAUGCUUGGGCGGGGUGAAGCCACGGGAAACCAUGGUGGAGGCCCGAAACGGUUCUGACGUGCAAAUCGAUCGUCUGACCUGAGCAUAGGGGCGAAAGACUAAUCGAACCAUCUAGUUGCUGGUUCCCUCCGAAGUUUCCCUCAGGAUAGCUAAAACUUGAUCUAAAUGAAUUUAUUCGUUUAGCAAUUUCAUCGGAUAAAGCGAAUGAUUAGAGGAAUGGGGAAAAUCUUUUUCUUCACCUAUUCUCAAACUUUAAAUCGGUGAGAUGUCCUUGUGACUUAAUUGCACUUGGACUUUGAAUGCAAGUUUUUAGUGGGCCGUUUUUGGUAAGCAGAACCGGCGAUGUGGGAUGAACCAAAAGUUGGGUUAAGGCGCCUAACUACUUGCUCAUGAGCAACCAGAAAAGGCGUUGAUUGAUAUUGACAGCAGGACGGUGGCCAUGGAAGUCGGAAUCCGCUAAGGAGUGUGUAACAACUCACCUGCCGAAUCAAUCAGCCCUGAAAAUGGAUGGCACUAGAGCUCGUGGCCUAUACCCAACCGUGAACAUCAAUGUCCGACUAACGUUGGAAUUGAAUAAAAAGUGGACUCUUCGGAGACUACAUAAAUUAUGUUCACGAGUAGGAGGGCGCAUUGGUUGCACUGAAGUACAUGCGUGAGCGUGUGCUCGAAGCGGCCAAUGGAGCAGAUCUUGGUGGAAGUAGCAAGUACUCAAAUGAGAGCUUUGAGGACUGAAGCGGGAAAGGUUUUCAUGUGAACAGCAUUUGCACAUGAGUUAGUCGAUUCUAAAAGACAGGCUAAUGCCGUAGUCUUGAAAGGUGGUUUCUUGUAAACUGCUUUGUCUCGAAAGAGCAUCGGGUUAAAAUUCCCGAACUGAUUCUAUCGGCUAUAACGGUGGUAACACCAGUGAUUUCCAAUUUGUCGGUGGGACCUUGGCGAAGAGUUAUCUUUUCUUUAUAAUACGUAGUAGAGUCCUUGGAAUUGAUUCAAUCAGAGAUAAGGCUCGAACCGUGCAAGAGCACAGCAGCAUUUGCUGUGUGCCAAUUGUUCUCACUGACGCCUAAAAGUUGGAUCUAACUAUGCCGGUAGAAUCAAUCGUACCGAUUACCGCAUCAGGUCCCCCAAGGUGAAAAGCCU